AGUGAACGCUGGCGGUAGGCCUAACACAUGCAAGUCGAACGGCAGCACAGUAAGAGCUUGCUCUUACGGGUGGCGAGUGGCGGACGGGUGAGGAAUACAUCGGAAUCUACUUUUUCGUGGGGGAUAACGUAGGGAAACUUACGCUAAUACCGCAUACGACCUACGGGUGAAAGCAGGGGAACUUCGGACCUUGCGCGAUUGAAUGAGCCGAUGUCGGAUUAGCUAGUUGGCGGGGUAAAGGCCCACCAAGGCGACGAUCCGUAGCUGGUCUGAGAGGAUGAGCAGCCACACUAGAACUGAGACACGGUCCAGACUCCUACGGGAGGCAGCGGUGGGGAAUAUUGGACAAUGGGCGCAAGCCUAGUCCAACCAUGCCGCGUGGGUGAAAGAGGCCUUCGGGUUUUAAAGCCCUUUUGUUGUGAAAGAAAAGCAGCCGGUUAAAACCCCGCUGUUCUGACGGUACCCAAAGAAUAAGCACCGGCUAACUUCGUG
This 492-nucleotide ribosomal RNA is filed under the name uncultured bacterium. RNAcentral describes it as "partial 16S ribosomal RNA". It matches the Rfam family "Bacterial small subunit ribosomal RNA", at positions 29 to 507 of the family's 1533-position model. The record is from RNAcentral.